GAUGAACGCUGGCGGCGUGCCUAACACAUGCAAGUCGAGCGAUUCUCUUCGGAGAAGAGCGGCGGACGGGUGAGUAACGCGUGGGUAACCUGCCCUGUACACACGGAUAACAUACCGAAAGGUAUGCUAAUACGAGAUAACAUAAGAAAUUCGCAUGUUUUUCUUAUCAAAGCUUUUGCGGUACAGGAUGGACCCGCGUCUGAUUAGCUAGUUGGUAAGGUAACGGCUUACCAAGGCGACGAGCAGUAGCCGACCUGAGAGGGUGAUCGGCCACAUUGGAACUGAGACACGGUCCAAACUCCUACGGGAGGCAGCAGUGGGGAAUAUUGCACAAUGGGCGAAAGCCUGAUGCAGCAACGCCGCGUGAGCGAUGGAGGCCUUCGGGUCGUAAAGCUCUGUCCUCAAGGAAGAUAAUGACGGUACUUGAGGAGGAAGCCCCGGCUAACUACGUGCCAGCCGCCGCGGUAA
RNAcentral lists this ribosomal RNA (468 nucleotides) under uncultured bacterium. RNAcentral's name for it is "partial 16S ribosomal RNA". It matches the Rfam family "Bacterial small subunit ribosomal RNA", at positions 28 to 523 of the family's 1533-position model. The record is from RNAcentral.